RNAcentral lists this ribosomal RNA (245 nucleotides) under uncultured bacterium. RNAcentral describes it as "partial 16S ribosomal RNA". It matches the Rfam family "Bacterial small subunit ribosomal RNA", at positions 524 to 768 of the family's 1533-position model. The record is from RNAcentral.
GACGAAGGUGGCAAGCGUUGUUCGGAAUCACUGGGCUUAAAGCGCACGUAGGCGGGCCAUUUUGCGCCUUGUGAAAGCCCCCGGCUCAACCGGGGAAUUGCUGGGCGAACGGAUGGUCUUGAGGCAGGUAGAGGCGCGGGGAACUCUUGGUGGAGCGGUGGAAUGCGUAGAUAUCAAGAGGAACACCGGUGGCGAAGGCGCCGCGCUGGGCCUGUCCUGACGCUGAGGUGCGAAAGCCAGGGGAG